RNAcentral lists this long non-coding RNA (504 nucleotides) under Homo sapiens (human). RNAcentral's name for it is "non-protein coding lnc-GPR78-1:2". The record is from RNAcentral. Lineage: Eukaryota; Metazoa; Chordata; Mammalia; Primates; Hominidae.
UGUUGUUCCAGAGUCGGGCUGUGCCGAGGGAAUGUGCUGCUUCCCCCAUUUUGCAGACAGGGACACUGAGGCUCAGUGAGGGUGAGGGCUCACCCAGGUUGCAGAGCCUGCCCAAAGCUGGGUCUUCUGGCUCCAAGUCGGGAGCACGCUGCACACCUCAUGCCAUGGAUCAGGCCUUGAAGCUCUCCGUGAAGGUGUACAUUGUGCCCCUCAUUGACCGGCAGAGAGCCAGGCCUCAGGGACGAGAUCCUGGACAGUCAUUGCAUAUAAGCCGUGGUGAGUAGAUAUGGCUCACGGGAACUGGGCAGGUGGAAUCCACACCUCACCGCGUUGCUGGGAAGAUGGAGGAGGUGACGCAUGGGAAGACCUCCCCACCACCAGGUCGCUCCAGUUUGGUGCCAGCGCCUGGAGGGAGAGGCGUGGCGAGGGCUGUGCUGCCUAGGAUCCACUGAGUGGCUCUUGCUGGCGUGUCAGCUGCGCGCGAACCAGGGCUGGGAGGCUCGG